Podarcis muralis (Common wall lizard) is the source of this 694-nucleotide non-coding RNA. The record is from RefSeq and is a predicted model, not a curated record. Lineage: Eukaryota; Metazoa; Chordata; Lepidosauria; Squamata; Lacertidae.
CCCGAGUACAUCCUAUUUUGCCUCUCUUCACUGUUACCUCUUCAUCUCAUCACCAAGCCAGAAAGGUGAGAACAACUGCCAAGCUCAGACUCCAUUUCAAGUUAGACUAAAAUAUGUCUGUGUAACCGAAUUACCAUUUUAACCUGCCUGAAGAAAGAUGCUGCAUCUGUCCUUCUGCAACAGAAACUCUGGAGCAGAGAGGAGGCAAAGGCUGGAACUGCUGACACCAUUCAAAGCCUGUGAAAUAAAUCAGCAAAGUGGAAACAGAAGUCAGGUAAGAGCUUCUGAGAUGGGAGCUGCGACAACGGCAAGCUGUGCUCAGAGCUGUUCUUGCAAAUGCAAGCAAGUGACAAUUAUCAGAGUGCAAGGACACACUCCAGCUUCCAAACCAUCCCCAAGAUUGCCCUGCAUGGACAACUGAAUGUAUGCAUUGAAGUCUCGAUAAUUUCCUGCUUUUCAAGUAGAGAUGGCUGGACCUGUUACGACUGAUUUCUCUCAGGGUCUUGUUCUUUCCCACUAAUAAGUUCAAUUUUCCCCAUUGCCACAUCAACUGUGGUUUUAAAAAAUCCAUGUGAAAUUUCGUACACAUUUGAAGGCAUUUUUGCCUAACAUACACAAUGUUGCAAGGAAUUUCAUCUAUUAUAAUGCAUUGUUAAUCAAUCUAAAUAAUAAAAGAAGCAAUUAUUUAAUCAUA